This is a long non-coding RNA of Rhea pennata, 1220 nucleotides long. RefSeq lists it as uncharacterized. The record is from RefSeq and is a predicted model, not a curated record. The transcript has 4 exons. NCBI's taxonomy places the organism in Eukaryota, Metazoa, Chordata, Aves, Rheiformes, Rheidae.
AAGAGAAAAAGAACGCGCGUAAAUCUAAGCCUUUCGUUGCCAGCAAAAUGCCAGUUUCUCUCUUUGUUACAGAGCCGGAACCAACGACAGCAAAUGCUGACGGAGAGGGAAGCCGGACGAACGGCGUGUAGGGGAUUAAUACCCAAGGGACGGGGUUGAAACGAGGAGGCAGAAACGCAGCGGACCCUCGGUAUCCCCAGCAGCUGCCAGGGUAGCGGCAGGUGUUCCGCCACGGGCAAGUCAAGCAGGGAACGACGACGGGCCGUCGUGAAGAACUACAGGCUGCCGCCCUCCGACCUCGGCAGGUGACGCGCCGAGAGCAGCCGGGAGAAUCCGAAUGCCGGUCUUGGCGAGUUCUCUGCCUGGUGCUGACGAGGAGCCUUUGACAGUAGGAAGCACACCUGCUUCUAGUCUCAGUUGAAGGACGGGUCGCCUAGCUCAGCGUCUAACAAACCCCACAACCGGUGGCCCGGUCGCUAUGGCGCUGCUGUUGCUAGCAGAGCCACCAGGUCUGUGUGAAGCCUUAGGUGCCUGCUUGGAGCAGUGUUUUGGUCUGCUCACCUGGAAGAAGCAGCGAGGCCUAAAACAAGACUUUGUUGCGGCUACAUGGCCUGGGCCUGUGCGUGCCCCCCGGCUCUUGCGGACGCCCCGGAGCUGUAGGCAAACAGGCGAGCAGCCCGGCAGGCGAGCGGGCUCGGAGCGUGGCGAGGGCUGUCCGUGCUGUGCGGAUCCGUCCGCUUCCGUUCCCCGUCUCCUCGUCCGGCCCGCCCUCCUUUGGGUUUGUAACCUUCCCCUGCACCCAGCGUUCGGUUCGGCUCUGCGCGCAGACCUCAGGGCUGGGCUUCGUGCGGCCCAGGCCCGUGCCACCGAGACCGGCGAUGGGACGGGCGAGCCGAGCGCUGGGCAGCGAGCGUCCUGCAGGGCUCUAGCCUGGCGCAGGGCAGAAGUGCGCAGACAGGCGAGCUCAGGCGUCGUCCUCUCCGUUCUCAGAGCUGAGUGCUCUCCGUGAAGGCGAAAGCGGAAGGGGUAGGUCGUCGGCUACUCGGACACCUGCCGCGUCAAGGGCGGCAGCGGGAGCUGACCCUUCCCCGACGGACGGACGCCGGUGAGGACUCUUUGGGUGUCACAAGGUAAGGGAAAGCGUGCCGGCGUCCAGCUCGGUGGCUGGCUCGCUCCCAGGUGGUGUUUCUGCACGGCAAAACAAUAAACGGUUGCUUUAA